Molecule: ribosomal RNA, 346 nt
Filed under: uncultured bacterium
Lineage: Bacteria
Description: partial 16S ribosomal RNA
Rfam family: Bacterial small subunit ribosomal RNA
Source: RNAcentral
CCUACGGGAGGCAGCAGUGGGGAAUAUUGCACAAUGGGGGAAACCCUGAUGCAGCGACGCCGCGUGAGUGAAGAAGUAAUUCGUUACGUAAAGCUCUAGCAGCAGGGAAGAAAAUGACGGUACCUGAGUAAGAAGCCCCGGCUAACUACGUGCCAGCAGCCGCGGUAAUACGUAGGGGGCAAGCGUUAUCCGGAUUUACUGGGUGUAAAGGGAGCGUAGACGGUGCGCCAAGUCUGGAGUGAAAUGCGGCCGCUUAACUGCGGAACUGCUUUGGAAACUGUCGAACUAGAGUGCGGGAGUGGUCAGCGGCCUUCCUAGUGUAGCGGUUCCAUGCGUAGAUCUUAGG